GUCUACAGCCAUGCUACCCUGAACAAGCCUGAUGCCGUCUGAUCUCAGAAGCUAAACAGGGUCAGGCCUGCUUAGUACUUGGAUGAGAGACCACCUAGGAAGACCAGGUGCUAUAGGCA
This 119-nucleotide ribosomal RNA is filed under the name Pteropus alecto (black flying fox). Lineage: Eukaryota; Metazoa; Chordata; Mammalia; Chiroptera; Pteropodidae. The record is from RNAcentral.